UGGAUCCAGAACUUUGAUCAUGGCUCAGGACGAACGCUGGCGGCGUGCUUAACACAUGCAAGUCAAACGGAGAACUUAUUUCGGUAAGUUCUUAGUGGCGAACGGGUGAGUAACGCGUGGGCAACCUGCCCUCCAGUUGGGGGCAACAUUCCGAAAGGGAUGCUAAUACCGAAUGUGCUCCCUCCUCCGCAUGGAGGAGGGAGGAAAGAUGGCCUCUGCUUGCAAGCUAUCGCUGGAGGAUGGGCCCGCGUCUGAUUAGCUAGUUGGUGGGGUAACGGCUCACCAAGGCGAUGAUCAGUAGCCGGUCUGAGAGGAUGAACGGCCACAUUGGGACUGAGACACGGCCCAAACUCCUACGGGAGGCAGCAGUGGGGAAUCUUCCGCAAUGGACGAAAGUCUGACGGAGCAACGCCGCGUGAGUGAUGAAGGUCUUCGGAUUGUAAAACUCUGUUGUUAGGGACGAAUGCACCGUGUUCGAACAGGUCAUGGUGUUGACGGUACCUAACGAGGAAGCCACAGCUAACUACGUGCCAGCAGCCGCGGUAAUACGUAGGUGGCAAGCGUUGUCCGGAAUUAUUGGGCGUAAAGAGCAUGUAGGCGGGCUUUUAAGUCUGACGUGAAAAUGCGGGGCUUAACCCCGUAUGGCGUUGGAUACUGGAAGUCUUGAGUGCAGGAGAGGAAAGGGGAAUUCCCAGUGUAGCGGUGAAAUGCGUAGAUAUUGGGAGGAACACCAGUGGCGAAGGCGCCUUUCUGGACUGUGUCUGACGCUGAGAUGCGAAAGCCAGGGUAGCAAACGGGAUUAGAUACCCCGGUAGUCCUGGCCGUAAACGAUGGAUACUAGGUGUAGGAGGUAUCGACCCCUUCUGUGCCGGAGUUAACGCAAUAAGUAUCCCGCCUGGGGACUACGAUCGCAAGAUUGCAACUCAAAGGAAUUGACGGA
This 940-nucleotide ribosomal RNA is filed under the name uncultured bacterium. RNAcentral's name for it is "bacterial SSU rRNA". It matches the Rfam family "Bacterial small subunit ribosomal RNA", at positions 1 to 917 of the family's 1533-position model. The record is from RNAcentral. RNAcentral also lists the same sequence under 1 other name.